GCGUGCAGGAAGAAGGCCUUCGGGUUGUAAACUGCUUUUGUCAGGGAAGAAAAGCUUCGGGCUAAUACCUUGAAGCCAUGACGGUACCUGAAGAAUAAGCACCGGCUAACUACGUGCCAGCAGCCGCGGUAAUACGUAGGGUGCAAGCGUUAAUCGGAAUUACUGGGCGUAAAGCGUGCGCAGGCGGCUGUGCAAGACAGAUGUGAAAUCCCCGGGCUCAACCUGGGAACUGCAUUUGUGACUGCACAGCUCGAGUACGGCAGAGGGGGAUGGAAUUCCGCGUGUAGCAGUGAAAUGCGU
RNAcentral lists this ribosomal RNA (300 nucleotides) under uncultured bacterium. Its description in RNAcentral is "bacterial SSU rRNA". It matches the Rfam family "Bacterial small subunit ribosomal RNA", at positions 399 to 691 of the family's 1533-position model. The record is from RNAcentral.